GCCAGAGUGGCGGAAUGGCAGACGCGCUGGACUCAAAAUCCAGUGUCCGCAAGGACGUGUGGGUUCGAGUCCCACCUCUGGUA
This 83-nucleotide transfer RNA is filed under the name Planctomycetales bacterium. RNAcentral's name for it is "tRNA-Leu". It matches the Rfam family "tRNA". Rfam says of the family: Transfer RNA (tRNA) molecules are approximately 80 nucleotides in length. Their secondary structure includes four short double-helical elements and three loops (D, anti-codon, and T loops). Further hydrogen bonds mediate the characteristic L-shaped molecular structure. tRNAs have two regions of fundamental functional importance: the anti-codon, which is responsible for specific mRNA codon recognition, and the 3' end, to which the tRNAs corresponding amino acid is attached (by aminoacyl-tRNA synthetases). tRNAs cope with the degeneracy of the genetic code in two manners: having more than one tRNA (with a specific anti-codon) for a particular amino acid; and 'wobble' base-pairing, i.e. permitting non-standard base-pairing at the 3rd anti-codon position. Lineage: Bacteria; Pseudomonadati; Planctomycetota; Planctomycetia; Planctomycetales. RNAcentral also lists the same sequence under 1 other name. The record is from RNAcentral.